Molecule: non-coding RNA, 4718 nt
Organism: Sus scrofa (pig)
Lineage: Eukaryota; Metazoa; Chordata; Mammalia; Artiodactyla; Suidae
Source: RefSeq, a predicted model, not a curated record
UCUAAGACCUACACUGUAGCUUGCAGCAAAACCUGAUCCUUAACCCACCGACUAAGGCCAGGGAUCAAACCUGCACCUUCACCAAUACUAGUUGGGUUCUUAACUGGCUGAGCUGCAAUGGGAACAACUCCCUAUGAUAUUUAAAUUGUAUGCUAGAACGUAUUUUUUUCUAAAAGCACACAGCUUCCUGAACUUUCAGGCAUCUGCUGACGUUUUAAAGAUUUGUUGAAUUGAGUUCUUGCUGCACACACGAGACUAUGUAAGAUGUUGUGGAGAGUACAAAGAAAUAUUAAAAUAAGGGCUCUGUACUUUAAGAUGCCAGUGAUUUUAGGAGUUCCUGCUCUGGUGCAACUGAAUUGGCGGUGUCUCUGCAGCACCAGGACACAGGUUCAAUCCCUGGCCUGGCACACUGGGUUAAAGGAUCCCACCAUGUUGCCACAGCUACAGCUUAGGUCACAACUGCAGCUUGAAUCUGAUCCCUGGCCCAGGAAUUCCAUAUGCCAUGGGGCAGCCCAAAAAAGAAGGAAAAAAGAAAGAUGCCAGUGAUUUUAAUUGGGAAAAUAAGACCUAAUCAUGUCAAAAGUUAUGUAGGAAAACAGUCAGACCCCAAAUUAAGCAAUUUCCAUUGUCAAAAGAGUGGUGAGAAAGGUACCAAAUACUAAAUUUGGAUAAUGCUGAGUUUUCAAGUAAAUCUGAAUAUAUGGCUUAGAACAUCCAUUUUCCAACAAGGCAGCAUGAAACUCAGUAUCUUAAGCGGUGGAUGGGGUGAAGACUGGUAUCCUAUGACUGGUGCAGAACACAGGCAUUUUAGGAACUGGGGUUUGAGAGUUUUGUGGGCCAAUGUGCUCAGGGUACGUUUCAUGAAGGAGAACCCAGGGGUAGUAGUGGGAGUCUGGGGGCUGUAGGCUAGAGUGGAAGAAGCAGGGCUACCCUGUUGAAAAUAAGCAAGUUGUGUUCUAUAUCCAGGAGCAAAUCUGCCCAGCUGGAGUGGAAGGUGUUUGGGAGGGGUGGCUAAUAAGAGAAAAGAUAGGAAAUUUAUGUUGGGGCCAGCUUGUAACUAGCACGAAAUGGCAGGUAUGGAUUUUAUCUUGCAAGGAGUAGUUACACAGAAUUAUAUAUUUUUUAGCAGAGAAAGCAAUGAUUUGGGAAAAAUUCCCCUGACUCUCAAAGCCUCUUUAAAAAACUUUGACAUUAUUUCACAAGGUUGAACAUUUGUGUACCAAUGACCUAACAUCGCAGUUCUAGAAAUGCACAAAUGCACUUGUGCACUAAGAACUGUUCAUAGCUACAUUACCCAUAAUAGCAAAGCCCUGGAAACAAUCCAAGUUGGUUGGCAGGAGAAGGAGUAAAUAACUGUGGUAUGGCACACAGUGGAAUACUAUGUAACAACAAAAUAACCAAGUUCAUCAACAGGGAUGAAUCUUAGAUUCACAACACAGUGAAAUAGCAGGUACCAGUUGAUAUACACAGUAUCAUACUAUCUUUAUGGAUUCCCUGGAUCAGCAAAAUCAGUGAUAUUCAGGUAUGUAAUAAAACCAUUUUUAUUGAGGUGUGACCAGUUUGUAAGAUUGUGUUAGUUUCAGGUGUACAGCAAUGUGACAUUUCACUUUUUUCCAUUAUAGGUUAUUACAAGCUACUGAAUAUAGUUCCUGGUGCUGUACCGUAAUUCCUUAUUGCUUAUCUAUUUUAUGUAUAGUAGUUUGUAUCUGUUCAUCUCAUUCUCCUAAUUUGUCCCUCCUCCCUUUCCCUUUUAAUAAAUAUGUUCUUAAAAAGUAAAAUAAAAAUACUCAAAACGAAAGAUAGCAGUUAGCUCCAGAUAUAGGCAAGGAACUGACAUAUGUGUUAUGUACACACAGACACAAGCUACUGUUACUGUUCUAGUUGCAGGGCUAGAUGCUUGGUUGGUUAUAUUUAUUAUACAGUUAUGUUUCAUAACUAACAUAAAGUUAACAUGUAAGUCAAAUGCUAUUUUAAAAAUUUUCAUCUGGCAGUAAACAUGCAAGCUGGAUGGAGGAGGAAAAGACUUGAGGCUGGAAAACCAGUUAGGAAGAUGUGCUUACAGAUAGAUAUUUAGGCACGGGAUCAUAAAGGAGGAGGGCACCUAGAACAGUGCUUCUGACUAUAGUUCUAGCUACACAGCCAUUUCCCCUGCCCAAACAAAACUUUCUUUGUUGACAGGAGAGAAAAGCAAAGGUUCUCUGGUGGAAUUUGGGGUUGCUGUAUGCCCCCUUUGAUUUUCUUCAGGGGAACAAGAGUUAUUCUCUACUUCACUAUAAAGGGGCAGUGUAGAUCACAGGAAAUCAUGUGUGUAGAAGGAAUUUGAAGCCAGCUAGUGCAAUUACCCACAUAAUGAGAUCGUCACUGAUAGUAGUGCUGUGUGAGCAGAGUUCCUUUGCACAUGACUGCAUCUGUUUCUUCUAAAACAUUUAGGGCAUUUGCUGUAUACCAGGGCCUCUGGGAACAAAGAUGGUAAGAAAUGAUUUUUGUCCUUGCCUCCAUGGGGAAGAGGAUCAAGCUGUAUAGAUAUAUGUAUUGUACUUGACGGUAUUAUUUAAGAAGUCAUCAAGUAAUUUCUCCAUUUUUUUAAGCAAUAAAGAACACAUACAGUGAGGGCAUUCAGGAAAAUGUGGGUUAGAAGCAUUCGAAGCCAUUCAUAAGUGGCAUCCAGAGCAUGGAGACAAGAAGGAGAAGCUGUCAGUUUUUCACUCAGUGCUAUGAUGAUAACACAGAUUUUUUUGUAGAAGCCUUCAGGCAGGAGUGGAAUUGCUGGAUCAUAUGGUAGUUCUACUGUUAUUUUUUGAGCAGCCUCUGUACUGUUUUCCACCAAUUUACAGUCCCAUCAACAGUGUGCAAGAGUUCGCUUUUCUCCACAUCCUCGCCAACAUUUGCUAUUUGUGUUUUUUUUCUGUCUCACUGAUUUGUCACGCAAUACUCUGAGGCAAGUAUUUUGGAGAUGAAGGAACUGAGACUCAUAUUAAGAAAUAUGCCGCCAUCACCUUUAUAAUAAAUGGUAAAGUCCGGUUCGAACACAGAUCCAGGCAACUGGGAGCUCAGGCUCUCCUUCAACACACAGUCUCCUUUGUGCCCAUAGUCUCGUUGGGUCUCCUGGAUGCAGUACUUAUAGUACUUCUCAAAGACUCUUUCCUCACUUCCCACAGAGCCCACAUUGCCUGAUCCUGAGUUCCUGAGUUGGGUGGGCAGUGAUGCUGGGACAGUUUGGGUCUUUCUUUGUACUCCUCGCACUUCAUACUCUGGCUGACAUGUAGGUGUUCAAUGAAUGUUGAAAUAAAUGACUAAAUGAGAACAAUUAUACUUCCUAGAAUUUUUGAGCCAAGCUUAGCUUUGAAGUUGGAAGGAAGCCAAGAAUUUGUCUCACCCAAACUUGCCAGUCAGAGGAAUUGAGUACACAGGAAACAAGCAUGAUUUGCCCAGUUCCGUGGAGAGAGGCUAAAACACAGUUGUCUUAGUCCAUGACUCUUUCAUGUAACCCCAGAGGCCUAUCUCAAAAGUUUCAAAGGUGAUGCCACUCUUCCAUUUGUAAGUUAUAGAAGAGAAAUACAAAUGUAAAAAUAACAAGGGAUCUGAAUUUCAUAUAACGUAAAGAAAACAUUCCAACGGCAGUGCCUUCAUCACUGACAAUAUUCUUCAUUAUUUCAUUUGAGAAAUCUUCCAUCUGAAGGACUGGAAUCAAAUCUUAGACUCUUCUCAGUUCCCCAAUCAACCAAACAAAUGAAACAUCUGGCACUGAGGGUGGUGAGCUAAGAACCUGGGCUCUGAGCCAGACACUUCACCCAAGGUAUGUGGCCCUGGCACAUGCGCCCAGCCCAAACUAGGUGUUCUCGUACGCAUUUCACAGCUAUGCUGUUACUCUGUAGGGCUGUAUCCUAUUGAUCAGGAAUGAAAAUAAUCCCUACCUCUCUCCUAGCCCCUCCCUCUGGCAGUUCUUUCCAGCCAGACCUGAUCUGCCAAUUGUGCUGUCGCCAACACCUCCCUAGAGCUCACUGGCAGGGCCUGACCCUGACCUUCAUGUUUGCUUCUCCACCACUCAACCCUUAGCCUCUGCACCCUUCUUCCAGGUCACAUUUCAUCUCUGAGGAACUCUGCCCUGUCAUCUCCUUUCCCAGAUGUCCUACAUGGUGCUUCCUGGUUUCAACAGAUUAACCUGUUUGAGUUUCAUCUUUAGAAUCCUUCACUGACUUCUUUCUGUAUAUUUAGUCUCAAAAUGAUAAUCUCAUAAUAUUAGCAUUUUUGUUUUUGUUUAUUUUUACUGCUCUUUUCGCUUUUACAGUGCCAUAGGGCUAACCUGACCUUGAUAUUAACUUUUUAAAAAUUGUAUAAUAUUUGCACUGAAAUUUUUUCUUUCACCAAACUCUUUUCUCACCACCCAUCCCAAAUAAUUUUUUUUUGAAAAGAGUGACAUAUAUUGAAGGAAAUGAAGAAAACGGCAUUUACUUAAUUUACUAUAUAGCCCUAAGAAAAACACCUCAAAACUCUCAACUGCUUAUGAAAUUCAUUUCAGUGUUUAAUAUAGCUUCUUUUGAUUGAAGAAUACAGAUAUUACAUUUAACAGGAUGUUCAUAGUCAGGAAAGUUAUUGGUGCUUGAUAGACAUUUAUAAAUUUUUGUGUGUGUGUGUCUUUUUAGGGCCACACCCAUGGCACAUGGAGGUUUCCAGGCUAGGGGUUGAAUCGGAGCUGUAGCUGCCAGCCUACACCACAG